GAUGAACGCUGGCGGCGUGCCUAAUACAUGCAAGUCGAGCGAACAGACGAGGAGCUUGCUCCUCUGACGUUAGCGGCGGACGGGUGAGUAACACGUGGAUAACCUACCUAUAAGACUGGGAUAACUUCGGGAAACCGGAGCUAAUACCGGAUAAUAUAUUGAACCGCAUGGUUCAAUAGUGAAAGACGGUUUUGCUGUCACUUAUAGAUGGAUCCGCGCCGCAUUAGCUAGUUGGUAAGGUAACGGCUUACCAAGGCAACGAUGCGUAGCCGACCUGAGAGGGUGAUCGGCCACACUGGAACUGAGACACGGUCCAGACUCCUACGGGAGGCAGCAGUAGGGAAUCUGCCGCAAUGGGCGAAAGCUUGACGGAGCAACGCCGCGUGAGUGAUGAAGGUCUUCGGAUCGUAAAACUCUGUUAUUAGGGAAGAACAAAUGUGGAAGUAACUAUGCACGUCUUGACGGUACCUAAUCAGAAAGCCACGGCUAACUACGUG
RNAcentral lists this ribosomal RNA (497 nucleotides) under uncultured bacterium. Its description in RNAcentral is "partial 16S ribosomal RNA". It matches the Rfam family "Bacterial small subunit ribosomal RNA", at positions 28 to 507 of the family's 1533-position model. The record is from RNAcentral.